GUGAGGAAUAUUGCACAAUGGGCGAAAGCCUGAUGCAGCAACGCCGCGUGAGUGAUGAAGGCCUUUGGGUCGUAAAACUCUGUCCUUGGGGAAGAAAAAAAUGACGGUACCCUUGGAGGAAGCCCCGGCUAACUACGUGCCAGCAGCCGCGGUAAUACGUAGGGGGCAAGCGUUAUCCGGAAUUAUUGGGCGUAAAGAGUGCGUAGGUGGUUUUGUAAGCGUAGGGUGAAAGGCAGUAGCUCAACUAUUGUUAGCCCUGCGAACUGUGAGACUUGAGUGCAGGAGAGGAAAGUGGAAUUCCUAGUGUAGCGGUGAAAUGCGUAGAUAUUAGGAGGAACACCAGUGGCGAAGGCGACUUUCUGGACUGUAACUGACACUGAGGCACGAAAGCGUGGGUAGCAAACAGGAUUAGAUACCCUUGUAGUCC
RNAcentral lists this ribosomal RNA (427 nucleotides) under uncultured bacterium. RNAcentral's name for it is "partial 16S ribosomal RNA". It matches the Rfam family "Bacterial small subunit ribosomal RNA", at positions 354 to 796 of the family's 1533-position model. The record is from RNAcentral.